Molecule: ribosomal RNA, 253 nt
Filed under: uncultured bacterium
Lineage: Bacteria
Description: partial 16S ribosomal RNA
Rfam family: Bacterial small subunit ribosomal RNA
Source: RNAcentral
UACGUAGGGUGCAAGCGUUAAUCGGAAUUACUGGGCGUAAAGCGUGCGCAGGCGGUUGUGCAAGACAGAUGUGAAAUCCCCGGGCUUAACCUGGGAACUGCAUUUGUGACUGCAGGGCUGGAGUGCGGCAGAGGGGGAUGGAAUUCCGCGUGUAGCAGUGAAAUGCGUAGAUAUGCGGAGGAACACCGAUGGCGAAGGCAAUCCCCUGGGCCUGCACUGACGCUCAUGCACGAAAGCGUGGGGAGCAAACAGG